Gymnothorax javanicus (giant moray) is the source of this 73-nucleotide non-coding RNA. NCBI's taxonomy places the organism in Eukaryota, Metazoa, Chordata, Actinopteri, Anguilliformes, Muraenidae. The record is from the annotation of a GenBank genome assembly.
GCCAGGAUAGCGCAGCAGGUAGCGCAUCAGUCUCAUAAUGUGAAGGUUGUGAGUUCAAUCCUCACAAGGGGCA